CAACGAUCAGUAGCCGACCUGAGAGGGUGACCGGCCACAUUGGGACUGAGACACGGCCCAAACUCCUACGGGAGGCAGCAGUGGGGAAUAUUGCACAAUGGGGGAAACCCUGAUGCAGCGACGCCGCGUGAGCGAAGAAGUAUUUCGGUAUGUAAAGCUCUAUCAGCAGGGAAGAAAAUGACGGUACCUGACUAAGAAGCACCGGCUAAAUACAUGCCAGCAGCCGCGGUAAUACGUAUGGUGCAAGCGUUAUCCGGAUUUACUGGGUGUAAAGGGAGCGUAGACGGCUGUGUAAGUCUGAAGUGAAAGCCCGGGGCUC
This 319-nucleotide ribosomal RNA is filed under the name uncultured bacterium. RNAcentral describes it as "bacterial SSU rRNA". It matches the Rfam family "Bacterial small subunit ribosomal RNA", at positions 274 to 610 of the family's 1533-position model. The record is from RNAcentral.